RNAcentral lists this long non-coding RNA (3998 nucleotides) under Sus scrofa (pig). RNAcentral describes it as "lncRNA (ENSSSCG00065058413.1)". Lineage: Eukaryota; Metazoa; Chordata; Mammalia; Artiodactyla; Suidae. The record is from RNAcentral.
ACAUUAAACAUGUCCAUUUCAUCCAAAUUUUAAAGAUUUUGGCAAAAAGUUGUUUACAGUAUCCCAUGGUAUUUCUAAAUCUCAAGGUUAUCAGUAGUUAUAUCCCUCCUACUCUUUUUCAGUCUUAAUUUUUUUAAAGGUCUGUGCUUCUUUCUUGUUUUCUUAAUUAACCCUGCCAAAGUUUUAUUUUAUAAAUCUUUCAGAGAGUCAACUUUUGGUGUUAUUAACCUUCACUGUUUUGUUCUGUUUUUUUUUUUUGUUUUGUUUUGUUUUCUUUUUAGGGCCACAUCUGCAGUAUAUGGAAGUUCCCAGGAUAGGGGUCCAAUCAGAGCUGUAGCUGCCAGCCUAUACCACAGCCACAGGAACACCAGAUCCAAGCCACAUCUGAGACCUACACCACAUCCUUAACCCACUGAGCAAGGCCAGGGAUCGAACUCACAACCUCAUGGUUAGCAGUCUGAUUCGUUUCCACUGAGCCACUAUGGGAACUCCUGUUUCUUUGUUUUCUUUAUUAUAGUCAUAUAUUUUAUUUUUUCUUCCUUUGUAUUGUUUUGGGUUUGCUCUGUUAAAUUUUAGUUUUAUUUAACAUUAGUAAAUAUUUCAUUAAUUAACAUUAACAUGUAAAUGUAUCUCAAAUAUUUUCAUAAGUAAUAAUUGUUGUUCAGUUCUGCAUAUUAGGAAUUUCCAUUGUGGAAAUUAUGAAUUAUUUAGAUGCAUUUUUUUAAGUUUCUAAAUUUCUAAGAAUUGUUGGAUACAUUUAUAUUUCUAACUAUUGAUUUUUCUGAUAUUGAUUUUUCUGAUUGCAGAUUAUAGGCUAUAAAUUAUUUUGUAUUUGUUGAAAUUUUCUUUUAUAGCCCAUUAUAGUUAUAAAGAGAUUGUCCAUUUCAUUCUAGAGAUUCAAAAAUAUUUUCUAGAGUUAAUAAAUAAAGGUAUAAAUAUAAAUGUAAUAGCAGAAGGAGCAAUGAAUGUCAUCAGUAGAUUAAAUACAUUUAAAAGAUUAAAGAAACUGCCCUUGUGAUCAGUGUGAUCAAGUUGAUUGAUUAAAUAUUUCAAAAGGAAAGGACAUUUGCCUUCAAACCUCUAUACUCUUAUAAGGAGAAAUACUCUGUAAAGCUCUAAAGAGAAGAAAUGUAAAUACUUUUAAUUUUUUGUAACAUCGUUCUUAACAAUCUUCCACAAUGUCUGUCUGUGUGCCCUUCUUCAGCAAGAGUCUGCUUUCAAGGACAGGCCUGUGGGAUCCAGGCUAAUAAGACUGUCAAAGAUAUCCAUUCAAUUGCCUAUACUAAUCAAUGUAAACAAAUGGACAGCCAAAGAGUGUUAGACAUCAUCUUUGAGUGGGUUAAGCUGUUAAAAUAUAGGUUUGUAUAUCCUCUAUUGUUGAAUCACAGUAUGUAAUUAAUACUUUUUUUUUUUUUUUUUUUUUUUGUCUUUUUAGGGCUACACAUGCGACACAUGAAAGUUCCCAGGCUAGGCGGGGGUUGAAUCAGAGCUGCAGCUGCCAGACUACACCACAGCCACAGCAACAUGGGAUCCAAGCUACAUCUGUGACCUACACCACAGUUCAGGGCAAUGCCAAAUCCUUAACCUACUGAGCAAGGCCAAGGAUCAAACCCUCCUUAUGUAUGCUAGUUGGGUUCCUAACUGCUGAGCCAUGUCCGCAAACUCCAUUUUUGUUUUAAUACUCUUAAUGCCAUUUAUCUAUAUUUAAGGUUUUUUUAAUUAGCCUAUUGUAAAGUUAGAGAAGACUUCAUUAUGUCUCAAAAUUUAAAGUUUUAAACCUUGAAAUAAUAGAAAUAAUAAUUAUAAAAUUACGUAUAGGAUGAUUGAAAAGGUGUGGGUAUGAAAGAACAGUGACUAUUUUUUCUUUUAUACUGUAGGGUCAGUAGGUGAUGUGUGAUUUUGAAAAUUAAAAGAAAUAAGCAAAGGUAUAUCAAUCAGUCGUAAUGACAACCACUAGAAAAAAAAUGUUUUUAAAUAGUUGCAAAAUAAAAGAAAUAAUAGGAUCUGGAGUUGGGAGAUGGAGAGGAAGAGAGGGAUAACUUUUGUCUUCUAAAUUUCUUAUUUUUCAAAAUGAUAGUUAAUAGAUAUUGAUAUGUGUUAGUAAUUCCAGUAAUUGACAUGUAUGUGUUUAUAUAGUUGUACAUAUACAACUACAAUUAUAAUAUUUAACAAAUAAUAAAAAUAAAAAUGAUUGCCAACAAAACAAUUAAAAAUGAAACUUUGGGCAUUACAGAUGAAGGACUGAACUUUGUGUGUGUGUGAAUGUGUUUCUGAACCUUUCAUUUUAUAAUCCUUUAUGUAGUUGAAAAUAUUUCAUCACAGGCAUGAUAUAACUAAUUUAUUUAUAAUCCUGUAUUCAGGCAAAGAAACACCAUUUAGGUAAGUAAUUAGCCAUGUGUAUAUAUGGAUUAGCUAUGUCCGUAUGUUUGGAUAUGGAAAGAGGACCAAAAUAUAUUUAUAAGUAAAAUAAAAAUAUAACACAUAUAAUUGUGUGUACUAUAUAUUUUGAUUAUUUAAAAAUGAUAAUGAUACAGAAUGUUUCUAUUAAUCAAUUCAUGGAAAAUAUCCAGAAAGAAACACAUCAAACUAAUUACAGUGACUGUUGGCAGUGCUUUAUCUUGUAUUCCAUCAUAUUGCUGAAAUAUGUUUCACUAGAACAAUGCAUUGAUUAUACAGUACAAUUUUAAGUGUAAAAGAGAUUCAAGAGAGCUUAGUUGGCAGGAUAUCUAAUUUAACCUAGUUUACUCUAUACCUCCACUGUUCAGGUUUUCAACUCUGUAGGUAUAGGAUUUCUCUGUGCCUUGCUCACUGUUCUGACCCCAGCAGCCAGACGAGGUUAGUCUCAAAACCCAUGAUAAAAACCCUUUAAAUAUUUCUGUAAUGAAUUAAUAAAUACAAGUAAAGUGCUUGAUAUAAUAUGUGAUAUACAGUAAUUAUGCAAGAGAUGAAAGCUUUUGUUUUGAUAAAUAGCCUAUAUGAACCAGUAAGAAUAAAUUGCUUUUGGUAAUUAAAAUUAAAAAUCAUUCAGAUAGCAGUAUGAGUGAUGGCUGAUGGAAAACUUUUAUUUUUUCUAUUAUUUUCUACAUGGAGUUUUAAAAUGAUCUAUUUGUACACACAUUUCAUUUUUUAAAUAAAAGAACUGUUAAGAAUUUAACUCCAGAUUGUUCUGGCUCAACAUUAAAAACAGAACAUUCUUAUUUGUGCCUUUACGUUUUUGUCAGUGACAUACACCUGCCUUUCUUUGUAGUGUAUGUUUAAACCAGAUUUCUCCAAAAAGGAUAAUAUAUUUCCUGAAGUUGCUUUAUUAUCAUCCUUCAUAUCAUCAAACCAGCCACAGAAAUCUUUGCUUACUUUUAGGUUUCAGAAUUCUUAUAAGCAGAAUGAUGCUUCUUUCUUGUAAGUCCUAUCUAUAAUAAAAUCUUGCUGAGUACAGGAGUACAUAAUGGCAUUUACUUCCUCAAUUAAUUUCAUUGUGAAUGUGCUAGAAGUUGUGUCAAUGAAGUUAUCCUGGAUGUCUUUAAUAGACAAUAAGCUUCAGUCGUGAUCAGAGUGAGGAAAAGGGAGAAUUGAACGUGAGCUAAUUUGAUGGUUAUGGCUUCCGACGAGUUUUCAUUUCCCUUCAAGCUUUGGACUAAAGCUGGAAGCAAAAGUAAAAUGCAAGAUGCUGGAGGUGCUUUGCUGCUCUGAUUUAACUUUAAGUAAAUCAGUCAUGUUCCUGACAGAACUGGCAUUCCACAGAAGGAGCCUGGGAGUUCCCGUCGUGGCGCAGUGGUUAACGAAUCCGACUAGGAACCAUGAGGUUGCGGGUUCGGUCCCUGCCCUUGCUCAGUGGAUUAACGAUCCGGCGUUGCCAUGAGCUGUGGUGUAGGUUUCAGACGCGGCUCGGAUCCCGCGUUGCUGUGGCUCUGGCGUAGGCCGGUGGCUGCGGCUCCGAUUGGACCCCUAGCCUGGGAACCUCCAUAUGCCGCGGGAGCGGCCCAAGAAAUAGCAACAACAAC